UGGGUCAUCAGGUGGCACAGCUGGCUCUGUUUGUCAGUGACCCAGACAAGGACAUCAGCCGGCAGGCCAGGGAGGGGAUUAACCGGCUGUACCAGCUGCUGCUCCAACAGAGGGGGCUGACCAUACACGAGGCAGAAGAUCUGUGGUGCCAUGACUGGCACCAGGACAGCAGGCUCCUGGGCUAUAAGAACACAGCCAGGGUGGGGGAGGUCUUUGGAAAAUUCUUCUCUGAGGGACAGAGAAAAUACUUCCUCCAGACAGCAAUUCUGGCAAUCUAUGACCCCCU
Non-coding RNA from Chelonoidis abingdonii (Abingdon island giant tortoise), 286 nucleotides. Lineage: Eukaryota; Metazoa; Chordata; Testudines; Testudinidae. The record is from RefSeq and is a predicted model, not a curated record.